Molecule: ribosomal RNA, 253 nt
Filed under: uncultured bacterium
Lineage: Bacteria
Description: partial 16S ribosomal RNA
Rfam family: Bacterial small subunit ribosomal RNA
Source: RNAcentral
UACGUAGGGUGCGAGCGUUGUCCGGAAUUAUUGGGCGUAAAGGGCUCGUAGGCGGUUUGUCGCGUCGGGAGUGAAAACUCGGGGCUUAACUCCGGGCCUGCAGUGGGUACGGGCAGACUAGAGUGCGGUAGGGGAGACUGGAAUUCCUGGUGUAGCGGUGAAAUGCGCAGAUAUCAGGAGGAACACCGGUGGCGAAGGCGGGUCUCUGGGCCGAUACUGACGCUGAGGAGCGAAAGCGUGGGGAGCGAACAGG